This is a non-coding RNA of Triticum aestivum (bread wheat), 135 nucleotides long. The record is from Rfam. Lineage: Eukaryota; Viridiplantae; Streptophyta; Magnoliopsida; Poales; Poaceae.
GACAUACUUCCUCUGUCCAGAAAUACUUGUCAUCAAAAUGGAUAAAAAAAGAUCUAUCUAGAACUAAAAUACAUCUAGAUACAUCCUCUUUUAUCCAUUUUGAUGACAAGUAUUUUCAGACGGAAGGAGUAGUUU